GACGAACGCUGGCGGCGUGCUUAACACAUGCAAGUCGAACGAUGAAGAAAAGAAUCGAAGCUUCGGCAGAAAUUCAUUUCGGAUUAGUGGCAGACGGGUGAGUAACGCGUGAGCAACCUACCUCUUACAAAGGGAUAGCCUCGGGAAACCGGGAUUAAUACCAUAUAACAUUGUGACGAAGCAUUUCGAUGCAAUCAAAGCUACGGCGGUAAGAGAUGGGCUCGCGUCCCAUUAACCGGAUGGUGAGGUAACGGCUCACCAUAGUGACGAUGGGUAACCGGCCUGAGAGGGUGAACGGUCACACUGGAACUGAGACACGGUCCAGACUCCUACGGGAGGCAGCAGUGGGGAAUAUUGCUCAAUGGAGGGAACUCUGAUGCAGCGACGCCGCGUGAGUGAUGAAGGAAUUCGUUUCGUAAAACUCUGUUCUAUGGGAAGAAAAGGACUGUACCAUAGGAGAAAGCUCCGGCUAAAUACGUG
This 480-nucleotide ribosomal RNA is filed under the name uncultured bacterium. RNAcentral's name for it is "partial 16S ribosomal RNA". It matches the Rfam family "Bacterial small subunit ribosomal RNA", at positions 28 to 507 of the family's 1533-position model. The record is from RNAcentral.